UGCGCAGGCUUCUUCCGGUCCCUCAGGGUUUCGGCGGCCGCAGCGGUGGCUGCGGCAGGCGUGACGCCUCCGCGCAUGCGCGGCGGGGACUCCACGUGUGCGCCUGCGUUUCUUCUCCAACCCAGCGAUGCCGCCCGAACGGAGAAACCGUACGAAACCGGACCGGAGAGCCGGCACCAGGCUUGACCGGAAGACUCAAAGAAAGCCAGAUGGGAGAGCCAGACUGGAUAGGGGCGGGUUGCCCCGGAAGGCUGCCCCUUCUUCAUCCCAGCGGACACCUCCGGCCCAGUCGAGCUCGGCGACCGCCCUCGAGGCGGCGGCGGCGGCGGCCGAGGCAGAGCGCCGGCUCCGCCAGCGGAACCGCCAGACUUUAGAGGAGGACAUACCGGCCGAGGAGCGGUGCCUGGAGGAGCUGGUCUUCGGCGACGUGGAGGAAGACGAGGGCGCGCUGCUGCGGCGUCUGCGGGGCUCGCAGACUCAACAUGGUGGAACCUUGGAUGAUUCUGAAGGGGAGAAUGAAGCACAUGAUAAUUUUCCCCCCCAGAAGAAACCAGUUUGGGUGGAUGAAGAAGAUGAAGAUGAAGAAAUGGUUGACAUGAAGAAAAAUCGAUUUCGGAAAGAUAUGAUGAAAAAUGCCACAGAAACUAAACUCUCAAAAGAUAAGCUUCAAAAGAGACUCAAAGAAGAAUUUCAGCAUGCUAUGGGAGGAGUACCUGCAUGGGCAGAGACUAGUAAGCAGAAAACAUCUUCAGAUGAUGAAAGUGAAGAAGAUGAAGAUGAUCUGUUGCAGAGGACUGGGAAUUUCAUAUCCACAUCAACUUCUCUUCCAAGAGGAAUCUUGAAGAUGAAGAACUGCCAGCAUGCCAAUGCUGAACGGCCUACCACUGCUCGGAUUUCUUCAGUUCAGUUCCACCCUUGUGCUCAGGUGGUGAUGGUUGCUGGGUUAGAUAAUUCUAUUUCACUCUUUCAGGUUGAUGGCAAAACAAAUCCUAAAAUCCAGAGCAUCUAUUUGGAUAGGUUUCCAAUCUAUAAGGCUUGUUUUACUGCAAAUGGAGAAGAGGUUUUAGCCACAAGUGUUCACAGCAAAGUUCUUUAUGUCUAUGAUAUGCUAGCUGGAAAGUUAGUUCCUGUGCAUCAAGUGAGAGGUUUGAAAGAGAAAGUAGUGAGACGUUUUGAAAUCUCCCCAGAUGGAUCAUUCUUGCUCAUAAAUGGUAUUGCUGGAUAUUCUCAUUUACUGUCAAUGAAGACCAAGGAGCUGAUUGGUAGCAUGAAGAUUAAUGGAAGAGUAUCAGCAUGCACUUUCUCUUCAGAUAGUAAGAAAAUAUAUACUUCUUCUGGGGAUGGUGAAGUUUAUAUUUGGGAUGUGAACUCUAGGAGGUGCCUUAACAGAUUUGUUGAUGAAGGCAAUUUAUGUGCAUUAAGCAUUGCCACAUCAAGGAAUGGACAGUAUAUUGCUUGUGGUUCUAGUUCUGGAGUGGUAAACAUAUACAAUCAAGAUUCUUGUCUCCAAGAAACUAAUCCAAAGCCAAUAAAAGCUAUAAUGAAUCUGGUUACUGGUGUUACUUCUCUGACCUUCAAUCCCACUACAGAAAUCUUGGCAAUAGCCUCAAGAAAAAUGAAAGAAGCUGUCAGAUUGGUUCAUCUUCCUUCUUGUACAGUAUUUUCUAACUUCCCAGUUGUUAAAAAGAAGACUAUUUCUCGUGCCCAAACCAUGGAUUUUUCUCCCAGAAGUGGAUAUUUUGCUAUAGGGAAUGAGAAAGGCAAAGCCCUGAUGUAUAGGUUGCACCAUUACUCGGACUUCUAAAAAGAGUCUUUGAAGUUGCUGUAUCCUCAGUUAGGGGAGUGGCGUGGAAAUAGAGCAGGAGCUGUAUAGCCGGACCUGAGCCUUCCUUGGGAAUUUCUUACCCAAAUCACAACAAUCUGCCUCUGUUCUUUUGAGAUCCAGUUGAGUCACUGAGGAAGCCUGUUCCAGUAUAGCUCAGAAACUUUGCAGGAUGCGUAUGAAAGAUGAUUUGUGGGGCCAAUUCUGCUUAAGUUAUUAGCAAUCAUGUCUUAAUAAACACAGCAAGUUUUGUUUGACAAUAA
Molecule: RNA transcript, 2085 nt
Organism: Dipodomys spectabilis (banner-tailed kangaroo rat)
Lineage: Eukaryota; Metazoa; Chordata; Mammalia; Rodentia; Heteromyidae
Gene: Utp18
Gene name: UTP18 small subunit processome component
Exons: 15
Source: RefSeq, a predicted model, not a curated record